Molecule: ribosomal RNA, 433 nt
Filed under: uncultured bacterium
Lineage: Bacteria
Description: partial 16S ribosomal RNA
Rfam family: Bacterial small subunit ribosomal RNA
Source: RNAcentral
AACGAACGCUGGCGGCAUGCCUAACACAUGCAAGUCGAACGAGACCGUCGGGUCUAGUGGCGCACGGGUGCGUAACGCGUGGGAACCUGCCCUUAGGUUCGGAAUAACUCCCCGAAAGGGGUGCUAAUACCGGAUAAUGUCUUCGGACCAAAGAUUUAUCGCCUUUGGAUGGGCCCGCGUUGGAUUAGCUAGUUGGUAGGGUAAAAGCCUACCAAGGCGACGAUCCAUAGCUGGUCUGAGAGGAUGAUCAGCCACACUGGGACUGAGACACGGCCCAGACUCCUACGGGAGGCAGCAGUGUGGAAUAUUGGACGAUGGGCGAAAGCCUGAUCCAGCAACGCCGCGUGAGUGAUGAAGGCCUUAGGGUUGUAAUGCUCUUUUACCCGGGAUGAUAGUGACAGUACCGGGUGAAUAAGCACCGGCUAACUCCGUG